RNAcentral lists this ribosomal RNA (476 nucleotides) under uncultured bacterium. RNAcentral describes it as "bacterial SSU rRNA". It matches the Rfam family "Bacterial small subunit ribosomal RNA", at positions 31 to 507 of the family's 1533-position model. The record is from RNAcentral.
GAACGCUAGCGGCAGGCUUAACACAUGCAAGUCGGAGGGGGUAUUGGUUUCGGACCAAGAGACCGGCGCACGGGUGCGGUAACGCGUAUGCGAUCUACCUUUGCAGAGGGAUAGCCCAGAGAAAUUUGGAUUAAUACCUCAUAGUAUGUGAGGAUGGCAUCAUUUUCACAUUAAAGUCACAACGGCAAAAGAUGAGCAUGCGUCCCAUUAGCUAGUUGGUAAGGUAACGGCUUACCAAGGCUACGAUGGGUAGGGGUCCUGAGAGGGAGAUCCCCCACACUGGUACUGAGACACGGACCAGACUCCUACGGGAGGCAGCAGUGAGGAAUAUUGGACAAUGGGCGCAAGCCUGAUCCAGCCAUGCCGCGUGCAGGAUGACGGUCCUAUGGAUUGUAAACUGCUUUUGUACAGGAAGAAACACUACUUCGUGAAGUAGCUUGACGGUACUGUAAGAAUAAGGAUCGGCUAACUCCGUG